AGCCUGAUGCAGCCAUGCCGCGUGUAUGAAGAAGGCCUUCGGGUUGUAAAGUACUUUCAGCAGUGAGGAAGGGGGAAGUUUUAAUAGCGCCGCCUYUUGACGUUAGCUGCAGAAGAAGCACCGGCUAACUCCGUGCCAGCAGCCGCGGUAAU
Molecule: ribosomal RNA, 152 nt
Filed under: uncultured bacterium
Lineage: Bacteria
Description: partial 16S ribosomal RNA
Rfam family: Bacterial small subunit ribosomal RNA
Source: RNAcentral